AGUGAACGCUGGCGGUAGGCCUAACACAUGCAAGUCGAACGGCAGCACAGUAAGAGCUUGCUCUUACGGGUGGCGAGUGGCGGACGGGUGAGGAAUACAUCGGAAUCUACUUUUUCGUGGGGGAUAACGUAGGGAAACUUACGCUAAUACCGCAUACGACCUACGGGUGGAAGCAGGGGAUCUUCGGACCUUGCGCGAUUGAAUGAGCCGAUGUCGGAUUAGCUAGUUGGCGGGGUAAAGGCCCACCAAGGCGACGAUCCGUAGCUGGUCUGAGAGGAUGAUCAGCCACACUGGAACUGAGACACGGUCCAGACUCCUACGGGAGGCAGCAGUGGGGAAUAUUGGACAAUGGGCGCAAGCCUGAUCCAGCCAUACCGCGUGUGUGAAGAAGGCCUUCGGGUUGUAAAGCCCUUUUGUUGGGAAAGAAAAGCAGCAGGUUAAUACCCCGCUGUUCUGACGGUACCCAAAGAAUAAGCACCGGCUAACUUCGUG
This 492-nucleotide ribosomal RNA is filed under the name uncultured bacterium. RNAcentral's name for it is "partial 16S ribosomal RNA". It matches the Rfam family "Bacterial small subunit ribosomal RNA", at positions 29 to 507 of the family's 1533-position model. The record is from RNAcentral.